CUGGCUCAGGACGAACGCUGGCGGCGUGCCUAAUACAUGCAAGUCGAGCGGACAGAUGGGAGCUUGCUCCCUGAUGUUAGCGGCGG
RNAcentral lists this ribosomal RNA (86 nucleotides) under Bacillus subtilis J25. RNAcentral's name for it is "partial 16S ribosomal RNA". The record is from RNAcentral. Lineage: Bacteria; Bacillati; Bacillota; Bacilli; Caryophanales; Bacillaceae. RNAcentral also lists the same sequence under 1 other name.